CCCUAUGGGGUGCAGCAGGCGCGAAAACUUGGCAAUGCGAGAAAUCGUGACCAGGGAACUCCAAGUGGCAGGGGUAAGACCCUGUCUUUUUCCGACUCUAAAUAGGUCGGCGAAUAAGGGGUGGGUAAGGACGGUGCCAGCCGCCGCGGUAAUACCGGCGCCUCAAGUGGUAGUCGCUUUUAUUGGGCCUAAAACGUCCGUAGCCGGUCUGGUACAUUCGUGGGUAAAUCAACUCGCUCAACGAGUUGAAUUCUGCGAGGACGGCCAGACUUGGGACCGGGAGAGGUGUGGGGUACUCUCAGGGUAGGGGUAAAAUCCUGUCAUCCUGAGAGGACCACCUGUUGCGAAGGCUCCACACUAGAACGGAUCCGACGGUCAGGGACGAAGCCUAGGGGCACGAACCGGAUUAGAUACCCGGGUAGUCCUAGGUGUAAACGCUGUGGACUUGAUGUUGGGGACGCUCCGAGCGUUCUCAGUGUCGAAGCGAAGGUGAUAAGUCCACUGCCUGGGGAGUACGGUCGCAAGGCUGAAACUUAAAGGAAUUGGCGGGGGAGCACCGCAACCUGAGGAUUGUGCGGUUUAAUUGGAUUCAACGCCGGAAAACUCACCAUGGCCGACGGACAUAUGAAAGCCAGUGUAACGAGCUUGCUGGAUUGUUCGAGAGGUGGUGCAUGGCCC
Molecule: ribosomal RNA, 678 nt
Filed under: uncultured Candidatus Poseidoniales archaeon
Lineage: Archaea; Methanobacteriati; Thermoplasmatota; Candidatus Poseidoniia; Candidatus Poseidoniales
Description: bacterial SSU rRNA
Rfam family: Archaeal small subunit ribosomal RNA
Source: RNAcentral